This 77-nucleotide transfer RNA is filed under the name Skermanella stibiiresistens SB22. Its description in RNAcentral is "tRNA-Pro". It matches the Rfam family "tRNA". Rfam says of the family: Transfer RNA (tRNA) molecules are approximately 80 nucleotides in length. Their secondary structure includes four short double-helical elements and three loops (D, anti-codon, and T loops). Lineage: Bacteria; Pseudomonadati; Pseudomonadota; Alphaproteobacteria; Rhodospirillales; Azospirillaceae. The record is from RNAcentral. RNAcentral also lists the same sequence under 3 other names.
CGGAGCGUAGCGCAGUCUGGUAGCGCAUCUGCUUUGGGAGCAGAGGGUCCCGAGUUCGAAUCUCGGCGCUCCGACCA